UUAGAGUUUGAUCAUGGCUCAGAUUGAUCGCUGGCGGCAGGCCUAACACAUGCAAGUCGAGCGGCAGCACAGAGGAACUUGUUCCUUGGGUGGCGAGCGGCGGACGGGUGAGUAAUGCCUGGGAAAUUGCCCGGUAGAGGGGGAUAACCAUUGGAAACGAUGGCUAAUACCGCAUAACCUCGUAAGAGCAAAGCAGGGGACCUUCGGGCCUUGUGCUACCGGAUAUGCCCAGGUGGGAUUAGCUAGUUGGUGAGGUAAGGGCUCACCAAGGCGACGAUCCCUAGCUGGUCUGAGAGGAUGAUCAGCCACACUGGAACUGAGACACGGUCCAGACUCCUACGGGAGGCAGCAGUGGGGAAUAUUGCACAAUGGGCGCAAGCCUGAUGCAGCCAUGCCGCGUGUAUGAAGAAGGCCU
RNAcentral lists this ribosomal RNA (415 nucleotides) under Vibrio mimicus. RNAcentral describes it as "bacterial SSU rRNA". It matches the Rfam family "Bacterial small subunit ribosomal RNA", at positions 1 to 417 of the family's 1533-position model. Lineage: Bacteria; Pseudomonadati; Pseudomonadota; Gammaproteobacteria; Vibrionales; Vibrionaceae. The record is from RNAcentral.